GUGGACCCGUUACCCGGGUUGCGGACAGUGUCUGGUGGGUAGUUUGACUGGGGCGGUCUCCUCCUAAAGAGUAACGGAGGAGCACGAAGGUUAGCUAAUCCUGGUCGGACAUCAGGAGGUUAGUGCAAAGGCAUAAGCUAGCUUGACUGCGAGAGUGACGGCUCGAGCAGGUGCGAAAGCAGGUCUUAGUGAUCCGGUGGUUCUGAAUGGAAGGGCCAUCGCUCAACGGAUAAAAGGUACUCCGGGGAUAACAGGCUGAUACCGCCCAAGAGUUCAUAUCGACGGCGGUGUUUGGCACCUCGAUGUCGGCUCAUCACAUCCUGGGGCUGAAGUAGGUCCCAAGGGUAUGGCUGUUCGCCAUUUAAAGUGGUACGCGAGCUGGGUUUAGAACGUCGUGAGACAGUUCGGUCCCUAUCUGCCGUGGGCGCUGGAGAAUUGAGGGGGGCUGCUCCUAGUACGAGAGGACCGGAGUGGACGCAUCACUGGUGUUCGGGUUGUCAUGCCAAUGGCAUUGCCCGGUAGCUAAAUGCGGAAGAGAUAAGUGCUGAAAGCAUCUAAGCACGAAACUUGC
This 571-nucleotide ribosomal RNA is filed under the name Citrobacter freundii. Its description in RNAcentral is "partial 23S ribosomal RNA". It matches the Rfam family "Bacterial large subunit ribosomal RNA", at positions 2227 to 2797 of the family's 2925-position model. Lineage: Bacteria; Pseudomonadati; Pseudomonadota; Gammaproteobacteria; Enterobacterales; Enterobacteriaceae. The record is from RNAcentral.